Molecule: ribosomal RNA, 430 nt
Filed under: uncultured bacterium
Lineage: Bacteria
Description: partial 16S ribosomal RNA
Rfam family: Bacterial small subunit ribosomal RNA
Source: RNAcentral
CCUACGGGUGGCAGCAGUGGGGAAUAUUGGACAAUGGGCGCAAGCCUGAUCCAGCCAUGCCGCGUGAGUGACGAAGGCCUUAGGGUUGUAAAGCUCUUUUGUCGGGGACGCGGUACCCGAAGAAUAAGCUCCGGCUAACUUCGUGCCAGCAGCCGCGGUAAUACGAAGGGAGCUAGCGUUGUUCGGAAUCACUGGGCGUAAAGCGCACGUAGGCGGAUUUGUAAGUCAGGGGUGAAAUCCCGGGGCUCAACCUCGGAACUGCCUCUGAUACUGCGAAUCUCGAGUCCGGAAGAGGUGGGUGGAAUUCCUAGUGUAGAGGUGAAAUUCGUAGAUAUUAGGAAGAACACCGGUGGCGAAGGCGGCCCACUGGUCCGGACUGACGCUGAGGUGCGAAGCGUGGGGAGCAACAGGAUUAGAUACCCUUGUAGUC